Molecule: ribosomal RNA, 426 nt
Filed under: uncultured bacterium
Lineage: Bacteria
Description: bacterial SSU rRNA
Rfam family: Bacterial small subunit ribosomal RNA
Source: RNAcentral
AGCGAACGUUUGCGGCGGGCCUAACACAUGCAAGUCGAACGCACUAGCAAUAGUGAGUGGCGCACGGGUGCGUAACACGUGGGUAAUCAACCCCUUCAGCUUGGGAUAACGACUUGAAAGGGUCGCUAAUACCGGAUACGGCGAGAGAGGCUUCGGCAUUUCUCGAGAAAGCCUCGCAAGGGGCACUGAAGGACGAGCCUGCGGCCCAUCAGCUAGUUGGUGAGGUAAGAGCUCACCAAGGCGAAGACGGGUAGCUGGUCUGAGAGGAUGAUCAGCCACACUGGAACUGAGACACGGUCCAGACUCCUACGGAGGCAGCAGUGGGGAAUAUUGCGCAAUGGGCGAAAGCCUGACGCAGCCACGCCGCGUGAGCGAUGAAGGCCUUCGGUCGUAAGCUCUGUGGGAGGAGACGAAGAAAGACCGGUG